UGUAGGAGUGAGCCUGCUCGCGAUAGCGGUAUGUCAGCAAAAAUUGCUUUGGCUGAUAGACCGCUAUCGCGAGCAGGCUCACUCCUACA
This 89-nucleotide unclassified non-coding RNA is filed under the name Pseudomonas granadensis. The record is from RNAcentral. Lineage: Bacteria; Pseudomonadati; Pseudomonadota; Gammaproteobacteria; Pseudomonadales; Pseudomonadaceae.